RNAcentral lists this transfer RNA (64 nucleotides) under Euthalenessa festiva. RNAcentral describes it as "tRNA-His". The record is from RNAcentral. Lineage: Eukaryota; Metazoa; Annelida; Polychaeta; Phyllodocida; Sigalionidae.
GUAUGAGUAGUUUAAAUAAAACUCUGAAUUGUGGUUUCAGGAAUGGAAUUAUUUCCCUCAAACC